GCCUUCAUGAAGUCGGAAUUGCUAGUAAUGGCAGGUCAGCAUACUGCCGUGAAUACGUUCCCGGGCCUUGUACACACCGCCCGUCACACCAUGAGAGUUGGAGAUACCCGAAGCCUAUGAGCUAACUUUUAGAGGCAGUAGUCGAAGGUAGAAUCAAUGAUUGGGGUGAAGUCGUAACAAGGUACC
Molecule: ribosomal RNA, 186 nt
Filed under: uncultured bacterium
Lineage: Bacteria
Description: partial 16S ribosomal RNA
Rfam family: Bacterial small subunit ribosomal RNA
Source: RNAcentral